UAAGGGCAAUCUAGUUGUGACAUCUGUCACUCCAUUGAUCGUUAGGAUUGAUUCAACUGAUCUUCGCUGGUUAGACGGGUGCCCCCUGCAUCCCUCA
RNAcentral lists this small nuclear RNA (97 nucleotides) under Anolis carolinensis (green anole). RNAcentral describes it as "7SK RNA". It matches the Rfam family "7SK RNA", at positions 6 to 101 of the family's 331-position model. From Rfam's summary of the family: 7SK was discovered as an abundant small nuclear RNA in the mid-70s but a possible function has only recently been suggested. The record is from Rfam by way of RNAcentral. Lineage: Eukaryota; Metazoa; Chordata; Lepidosauria; Squamata; Anolidae.